This 521-nucleotide ribosomal RNA is filed under the name uncultured bacterium. Its description in RNAcentral is "bacterial SSU rRNA". It matches the Rfam family "Bacterial small subunit ribosomal RNA", at positions 8 to 518 of the family's 1533-position model. The record is from RNAcentral.
AGGGUUCGAUUCUGGCUCAGGAUGAACGCUAGCUACAGGCUUAACACAUGCAAGUCAGGGGCAGCAUGAUCGAAGCUUGCUUUGAUUGAUGGCGACCGGCGCACGGGUGAGUAACGCGUAUCCAACCUUCCCUAUAGUAGAGGAUAGCCCGGCGAAAGUCGGAUUAAUACUCUAUGUUUUUCCGAAGCAGACAUCUAAUUUGGAACAAAGGUUUACCGCUAUAGGAUGGGGAUGCGUCUGAUUAGGUUGUUGGCGGGGUAACGGCCCACCAAGCCUACGAUCAGUAGGGUUCUGAGAGGAAGGUCCCCCACAUUGGAACUGAGACACGGUCCAAACUCCUACGGGAGGCAGCAGUGAGGAAUAUUGGUCAAUGGGCGAGAGCCUGAACCAGCCAAGUAGCCGUGCAGGAUGACGGCCCUAUGGGUUGUAAACUGCUUUUAUACGGGGAUAAAGUGAGGGACGUGUCCCUUAUUGUAGGUACCGUAUGAAUAAGGACCGGCUAAUUCCGUGCCAGCAGCUGC